RNAcentral lists this ribosomal RNA (468 nucleotides) under uncultured bacterium. RNAcentral describes it as "partial 16S ribosomal RNA". It matches the Rfam family "Bacterial small subunit ribosomal RNA", at positions 28 to 507 of the family's 1533-position model. The record is from RNAcentral.
GACGAACGCUGGCGGCGUGCUUAACACAUGCAAGUCGAACGGAAAGGCCCUGCUUUUGUGGGGUGCUCGAGUGGCGAACGGGUGAGUAACACGUGAGUAACCUGCCCUUGACUUUGGGAUAACUUCAGGAAACUGGGGCUAAUACCGGAUAGGAGCUCCUGCUGCAUGGUGGGGGUUGGAAAGUUUCGGCGGUUGGGGAUGGACUCGCGGCUUAUCAGCUUGUUGGUGGGGUAGUGGCUUACCAAGGCUUUGACGGGUAGCCGGCCUGAGAGGGUGACCGGCCACAUUGGGACUGAGAUACGGCCCAGACUCCUACGGGAGGCAGCAGUGGGGAAUAGUGCACAAUGGGCGGAAGCCUGAUGCAGCAACGCCGCGUGCGGGAUGACGGCCUUCGGGGUGUAAACCGCUUUCGCCUGUGACGAAGCGUGAGUGACGGUAAUGGGUAAAGAAGCACCGGCUAACUACGUG